Molecule: non-coding RNA, 73 nt
Organism: Myotis brandtii (Brandt's bat)
Lineage: Eukaryota; Metazoa; Chordata; Mammalia; Chiroptera; Vespertilionidae
Source: Rfam
GCUAGUAUAGCUCUGUGGUAGAGCAUUGGCCUGCACAACCAAAGGUCGUGGGUUCGAUUCCUGGUCAAGGGCA